UACGAGGGGUGCAAGCGUUGCUCGGAAUUAUUGGGCGUAAAGGGUAGGUAGGUGGUCUUAUUUGUCUGGGGUGAAAGCCUUGAGCUUAACUCAAGAAGUGCCCCAGAAACGGUGAGACUAGAGUCUGAGAGAGGGUCGUGGAAUUCCCAGUGUAGCGGUGAAAUGCGUAGAUAUUGGGAGGAACACCAGAGGCGAAGGCGGCGACCUGGAUCAGCACUGACACUCAACUACGAAAGCGUGGGUAGCAAACAGG
RNAcentral lists this ribosomal RNA (253 nucleotides) under uncultured bacterium. RNAcentral's name for it is "partial 16S ribosomal RNA". It matches the Rfam family "Bacterial small subunit ribosomal RNA", at positions 524 to 776 of the family's 1533-position model. The record is from RNAcentral.